This 351-nucleotide ribosomal RNA is filed under the name uncultured bacterium. RNAcentral describes it as "bacterial SSU rRNA". It matches the Rfam family "Bacterial small subunit ribosomal RNA", at positions 917 to 1269 of the family's 1533-position model. The record is from RNAcentral.
GGGCCCGCACAAGCGGUGGAGCAUGUGGUUUAAUUCGAUGAUACGCGAGGAACCUUACCAGGGCUUAAAUGUAGUAUGACCGGUCUAGAAAUAGACCUUCUCUUCGGAGCAGAUUACAAGGUGCUGCAUGGUUGUCGUCAGCUCGUGCCGUGAGGUGUUAGGUUAAGUCCUGCAACGAGCGCAACCCCUAUUCUUAGUUGCCAGCGGUUCGGCCGGGGACUCUAAGAAGACUGCCAGCGCAAGCUGAGAGGAAGGUGGGGAUGACGUCAAAUCAUCACGGCCCUUACGUCCUGGGCUACACACGUGCUACAAUGGUACAGACAGAGGGCAGCAAGUUCGCGAGGACAAGCA